UACAAAGGAGCCAAUGGGACCUUUCGUCCUUCCGCGCUACUCAUUAUCGUGAUUGCAUCGUGGUUCAUCUGUCUCUAAUGACGGCCAUUUGUGCAGCACAAGCGAUGUGUUUAUUACGCUCCUGCCUGAACAGAUUUUCGUACAGAGUCAGGUAUAACCCUCACCUGUGUGGGAACAAUCCUGGUGUUUCGUGACAUCACAGUUUUCUGGUCCAAUCACACUGACCGAGAGAUCUACUACCUGUCAUCACCGUGGAAACGCCGAUAGAGCGGGAAGAGAGCAGAGGGCAAGAAUAUUUCCUGCACCACACCUCUGACCCCACCCCUGGGACCAGCAUCACUGCUCUGACUGGUCAGACCAAAGGGUCACUGGAAGCAGGGUGACAGAACAGGCUUUUCAAUUAGAGUGAUUUAUUGCGGUUGGAUAAUGGAUUUACAAUAACCAAAGCUCUGAUGGCAUGCAUGUGUCGGCUCAGUGGGAUCACUCAGAGACAUUGUUGUUUGUUCUUGUGCUGAAGACACUUCCUCCUAAUUAAAAAAGAGUUCCUGCUGCCCCCGACAGAGAGCAGACACCAGGAGACACUGCCAGCUUGGUGCCUUCAGAAUUUUUCUGUGGAAAACAAAAGCAAAGAAGAGGAAUUUAUGCUGAGAUUUGGGAUGUGACCCCCUCAGGGCAGUCCCGUGAGCUCUGGAGUCAUUAGGGGUGACUGCACCCUGGCGAAAGAUGACAAUGACCAAACCGUGAGAAAGUAUUAUUUUAAAAAUGACUGAUUAUUCCACAUUUUGCUGAUUAUAACGAAUGUUUACUGAUUACAGCCCUAUUAAGGAAAUGAAUCGGGUGGUUGCUGGUUUGAUUCCUAGGUUAGCUGUUGCACCUUUUAGUUUGUAACCCACAUUUUUUCAGUAAAUAUAUCCAAAAG
Long non-coding RNA from Anguilla anguilla (European eel), 919 nucleotides. RefSeq lists it as uncharacterized. The transcript is spliced from 5 exons. Lineage: Eukaryota; Metazoa; Chordata; Actinopteri; Anguilliformes; Anguillidae. The record is from RefSeq and is a predicted model, not a curated record.